Molecule: ribosomal RNA, 506 nt
Filed under: uncultured bacterium
Lineage: Bacteria
Description: bacterial SSU rRNA
Rfam family: Bacterial small subunit ribosomal RNA
Source: RNAcentral
UGAGUAACACGUAGGGAACCUGCCCCUAAGACGAGGAUAACUACUGGAAACGGUAGCUAAUACUGGAUAGGAUAAGUUGACGCAUGUUGGCUUAUUUAAAGGUGCCUAUAAAGCACCGCUUAGGGAUGGCCCUGCGGCGCAUUAGCUAGUUGGUGGGGUAACGGCCUACCAAGGCGACGAUGCGUAGCUGUGCUGAGAGGCAGAACAGCCACACUGGGACUGAGACACGGCCCAGACUCCUACGGGAGGCAGCAGUAGGGAAUUUUCGGCAAUGGGGGGAACCCUGACCGAGCGAUGCCGCGUGAGUGAUGAAGGUCUUCGGACUGUAAAACUCUGUUAUUAGGGAAGAAUACUAUAGGGAGGAAAUGCCUUAUAGAUGACGGUACCUAAUGAGGAAGCCCCGGCCAACUAUGUGCCAGCAGCCGCGGUAAUACAUAGGGGGCGAGCGUUAUCCGGAAUUACUGGGCGUAAAGGGUGCGUAGGCGGUUUCUUAAGUCUAGUGUGAA